RNAcentral lists this ribosomal RNA (489 nucleotides) under uncultured bacterium. RNAcentral's name for it is "bacterial SSU rRNA". It matches the Rfam family "Bacterial small subunit ribosomal RNA", at positions 28 to 513 of the family's 1533-position model. The record is from RNAcentral.
GAUGAACGCUAGCGGCAGGCUUAAUACAUGCAAGUCGAGGGGCAGCAGGGAUAGCAAUAUUCGCUGGCGACCGGCGCACGGGUGCGUAACACGUAUACAAUCUGCCUUUUACAGGGGGAUAGCCUUUCGAAAGAGAGAUUAAUACCCCAUAAUAGUUGACCGGGCAUCUGGUUGAUUUGAAAGCUCCGGCGGUAAGAGAUGAGUAUGCGCCUGAUUAGCUAGUAGGUGAGGUAACGGCUCACCUAGGCUACGAUCAGUAGGGGAUCUGAGAGGACUAACCCCCACACGGAUACUGAGACACGGAUCCGACUCCUACGGGAGGCAGCAGUAAGGAAUAUUGGACAAUGCCCGCAAGGGUGAUCCAGCCAUGCCGCGUGCAGGAAGAAGGCCCUAUGGGUCGUAAACUGCUUUUACACCGGAGAAAACCUCCCCUCGUGAGGGGAGCUGAUAGUAUGGUGAGAAUAAGCAUCGGCUAACUUCGUGCCAGCA